CAGAGAGAGCUAUUCUACCACUAGUUACAUUUUCAUCAAAGGUUAUGCAUUUGUUCCUAAAAUGUCAAAUAUUCCAUAUCGCCCCAAGUAUAAGCUACAGAGGAAUGCUUAGGUAACCAACUGGGACAAAACAAGAGGGAGGAAACAGAAAUACUUCAGAAAAGCUGACCACAGAGGAGACAACCGGAGAAAAGUACUGGAUAUCCUCUGGGAAUGCCUUCUUCACUCUUGAAAAGGACACAAAUGCAUUUCAAUUUUGCUGCCUUUGUGAUGCCUGAAAAAUCAUUUUUAAGACAAAGAAAAGAUGUGAUGUGCCCAAGAGGGUAACAAGACCCUACUUGUUCAUGGGACAGGAAGAACCAUCACAAAGGACUCCCGUUCUCAUCUAGAAUUGGUUAUCUUCCAUAAUUCCAAGCAAACUGAAAACAGAGGAAAGGAGAUGAAUCACAUGCUUAAAGUCACAAAGCUGGUAAACCAAGCUGAGCCACUCUCAACAUCGCCAAACCAUGUCCGUGUGGCCAGAACUUUAAAAUGCUGCAUAAACAAGUCUUAAGUAAAAAAAUCACAGUGGGAGAGGGUUUUUUUUUUUGUGUGUUACAGUGGAUUAAGCCACAUCUCUGGAU
This 623-nucleotide long non-coding RNA is filed under the name Oryctolagus cuniculus (rabbit). Its description in RNAcentral is "lncRNA (ENSOCUG00000034247.1)". Lineage: Eukaryota; Metazoa; Chordata; Mammalia; Lagomorpha; Leporidae. The record is from RNAcentral.